RNAcentral lists this ribosomal RNA (252 nucleotides) under uncultured bacterium. Its description in RNAcentral is "partial 16S ribosomal RNA". It matches the Rfam family "Bacterial small subunit ribosomal RNA", at positions 525 to 776 of the family's 1533-position model. The record is from RNAcentral.
ACGAACCGUCCAAACGUUAUUCGGUAUCACUGGGCUUAAAGCGUUCGUAGGCGGCCUAGUAGGUGAGAUGUGAAAGCCCACGGCUCAACCGUGGAACAGCGUUUCAAACCACUAGGCUCGAGGAUGGCAGGGGUAAUGGGAACUGAUGGUGGAGCGGUGAAAUGCGUUGAUAUCAUCAGGAACACCGGUGGCGAAAGCGCAUUACUGGGCCAUUUCUGACGCUGAGGAACGAAAGCUAGGGUAGCGAACGGG